Molecule: long non-coding RNA, 649 nt
Organism: Phyllopteryx taeniolatus (common seadragon)
Lineage: Eukaryota; Metazoa; Chordata; Actinopteri; Syngnathiformes; Syngnathidae
Exons: 2
Source: RefSeq, a predicted model, not a curated record
ACCACCCACCCACCCACCAUCACCAUGUGACAAAUUCACACCCAGCGUUCUUGAAAUUCUGCACGUGUGUGUUGAAUGUGCAGCACUCUGCGGCAUCUCCCAGGAUAGCGACAGACACCGAUCGAGAAGUAUUCAUGGGUCCGGCCAUUUUCUCCCGGCUGCGAGUGCUUCCUGAGCCCACAUGACAGAACAACCACCGGGAGGAGGGGGCAGGGGGAGGUUCUUAGCCGCCGUGGAUUAUGUGGAAAGCGACCACCCGUCGCCCCCAUUCUCAUUUCAUCCACCUUGAGUCCACAGUGCUUGGUGAGGAGGAAAAAAAAAAAAAAUGCUGAAAUGCUGAGAGAGAAGCUAACCAGCUAGCAGCUGUCUCUGACGUGCCAUAGCAACAGCCUGGAUCCGCUCAAUCCCGAUUGGGUAUAACGAGAAGUCAUGUGAUUAUUUGGACCAAUCAGCAAUGUUUGGUGCAGAACUAACGCGGAUCGCUUCUCAUGCCGAAAUAUGUUGUAUGUUGCCCCCUGCUGGGUUGAUGUGCGCCUCGGCCCUGCAUACCCGACGAAACAAAACAAAAAAACGUGUACACAGGCGGCAAGGGAGUCAACAUGCCACCUAAUAAUCCAUAUUUAAUUGUUAUAAAAAAUAUUGAAGAUUA